CUCGGCGCCCGACAACUCUGUAAUAAAAAUUGCCAAUUUUCGCGGUUAAACUUAAAAAGGAAAAGAAAGCCAAUGAGUCCAUGUCAACUGCUGACAGUGAAGAGCCAGGCAGUCUGACCCAUGAUAGGAGGGAGCCAAGUGAAGAGCCAGCCAGUCUGACCCAUGAUAGGAGGGAGCCA
Dreissena polymorpha is the source of this 179-nucleotide long non-coding RNA. RefSeq lists it as uncharacterized. Lineage: Eukaryota; Metazoa; Mollusca; Bivalvia; Myida; Dreissenidae. The transcript has 3 exons. The record is from RefSeq and is a predicted model, not a curated record.